RNAcentral lists this unclassified non-coding RNA (300 nucleotides) under uncultured fungus. RNAcentral describes it as "partial contains small subunit ribosomal RNA, internal transcribed spacer 1, and 5.8S ribosomal RNA". The stretch from base 1 to 73 matches the Rfam family "Eukaryotic small subunit ribosomal RNA", at positions 1759 to 1831 of the family's 1831-position model. The record is from RNAcentral. Lineage: Eukaryota; Fungi.
UCAAACUUGGUCAUUUAGAGGAAGUAAAAGUCGUAACAAGGUCUCCGUUGGUGAACCAGCGGAGGGAUCAUUACGAAGAGAGUUUUCACGAACUCGCCAACCCUCUGUGAACUUAUCUCCACGUCGUUGCCUCGGCGGGCAGCCCCAGGGCGGGGCCGGCGCCUCCCCGAGGAGGGAGGUGCCCGCCGGAGGCCCCCAUCUAUAACUCUGUCAUCAGCAGUAUUCUGAGUCUCAUCACAAUUAAGAAUCAAAACUUUCAACAACGGAUCUCUUGGCUUUGGCAUCGAUGAAGAACGCAGC